RNAcentral lists this unclassified non-coding RNA (244 nucleotides) under Melanomma sp. (in: ascomycete fungi). RNAcentral describes it as "partial contains 5.8S ribosomal RNA, internal transcribed spacer 2, and large subunit ribosomal RNA". The record is from RNAcentral. Lineage: Eukaryota; Fungi; Ascomycota; Dothideomycetes; Pleosporales; Melanommataceae. RNAcentral also lists the same sequence under 1 other name.
AACGCACAUUGCGCCCUUCGGUAUUCCGUUGGGCAUGCCUGUUCGAGCGUCAUUUAAACCUUCAAGCUCUGCUUGGUGUUGGGUGUUUGUUCCGCCUCUGCGCGUGGACUCGCCUCAAAUUCAUUGGCAGCCGGUAUGUUGGCUUCGUGCGCAGCACAUUGCGUCUCGAGUCUGACUAUCUCCAUCCAUUAAGCCUCUUUUUAAGUUUGACCUCGGAUCAGGUAGGGAUACCCGCUGAACUUAA